CUUGGCCACAUGCAAUGAUCCAAGUACAGCACCUGACGAAACAACCUGCUGCUGUAGCUGAAUGAGCACUGAUAACUCUGAGUCCCCAGUUAUCCUGUAUCACUCCCGGGAGUGAAGAACAUUGAAGCCAAAAGUGAAGAAUUGUAGCUGUCCAGACAAUUCAUGGACUUCAGC
Molecule: long non-coding RNA, 174 nt
Filed under: Pogona vitticeps (central bearded dragon)
Lineage: Eukaryota; Metazoa; Chordata; Lepidosauria; Squamata; Agamidae
Description: lncRNA (ENSPVIG00000007967.1)
Source: RNAcentral